RNAcentral lists this unclassified non-coding RNA (349 nucleotides) under Hevea brasiliensis (rubber tree). Lineage: Eukaryota; Viridiplantae; Streptophyta; Magnoliopsida; Malpighiales; Euphorbiaceae. The record is from RNAcentral.
GAUGCACCACGCUGUUGUCUUGGCUAGUAAUACCAAUGGUAGCGCUACCGAUACAGCGCAUAAGUUGAUUGAGGAUGAUGACAAAAAUCACACUCUUCCACAUCCCUUGGGGAAUAAGAAGCCUAGUCACAUGCACAGUGUGGUUGCUACAGCAAUGAAGGGUCAAAUAAAACAGCCUCAGCAGAAUCCUAUCAAUGGUUUAAAUCAGACCAAGGUUAAUGGAAAUAACAGUCAGAAGCAAAAUCAAGCGCACCACCACAGUCAGCAUAGUCUUUCUUCAUCUGGGCUGAAUAAUAAAGGGAGAGAGCUAGAGGACCCUGCUACUAAGGCUUAUAUGAAGGCAAUGGCU